GUCGCGGCAGAUUAGCUAGUUGGCGAGGUAACGGCCCACCAAGGCGAUGAUCGGUAGCUGGUCUGAGAGGAUGAUCAGCCACACUGGGACUGAGACACGGCCCAGACUCCUACGGGAGGCAGCAGUGGGGAAUUUUGGACAAUGGGGGCAACCCUGAUCCAGCCAUUCCGCGUGAGUGAAGAAGGCCUUCGGGUUGUAAAGCUCUUUUGUCCGGAACGAAACGGUCACGGUGAAUAUCCGUGCGCUACUGACGGUACCGGAAGAAUAAGCACCGGCUAACUACGUGCCAGCAGCCGCGGUAAUACGUAGGGUGCGAGCGUUAAUCGGAAUUACUGGGCGUAAAGCGUGCGCAGGCGGUUUUGUAAGCCGGAUGUGAAAUCCCCGGGCUUAACCUGGGAAUGGCAUUCGGGACUGCAAGGCUGGAGUGCGGCAGAGGAGACUGGAAUUCCUGGUGUAGCAGUGAAAUGCGUAGAUAUCAGGAGGAACACCGAUGGCGAAGGCAGGUCUCUGGGCUGACACUGACGCUCAUGCACGAAAGCGUGGGGAGCAAACAGGAUUAGAUACCCUGGUAGUCCACGCCCUAAACGAUGUCGACUGGUUGUUGGGGGUUUGACACUCUCAGUAACGAAGCUAACGCGUGAAGUCGACCGCCUGGGGAGUACGGCCGCAAGGUUAAAACUCAAAGGAAUUGACGGGGACCCGCACAAGCGGUGGAUUAUGUGGAUUAAUUCGAUGCAACGCGAAAAACCUUACCUACCCUUGACAUGUCCUGGAGCCUCCUGAAAUGGGGCUGUGCCCGAAAGGGAACGGGAACACAGGUGCUGCAUGGCUGUCGUCAGCUCGUGUCGUGAGAU
Molecule: ribosomal RNA, 854 nt
Filed under: uncultured bacterium
Lineage: Bacteria
Description: bacterial SSU rRNA
Rfam family: Bacterial small subunit ribosomal RNA
Source: RNAcentral